Molecule: ribosomal RNA, 237 nt
Filed under: Candida albicans
Lineage: Eukaryota; Fungi; Ascomycota; Pichiomycetes; Serinales; Debaryomycetaceae
Description: partial 28S ribosomal RNA
Rfam family: Eukaryotic large subunit ribosomal RNA
Source: RNAcentral
UUGACCUCAAAUCAGGUAGGACUACCCGCUGAACUUAAGCAUAUCAAUAAGCGGAGGAAAAGAAACCAACAGGGAUUGCCUCAGUAGCGGCGAGUGAAGCGGCAAAAGCUCAAAUUUGAAAUCUGGCGUCUUUGGCGUCCGAGUUGUAAUUUGAAGAAGGUAUCUUUGGGCCCGGCUCUUGUCUAUGUUCCUUGGAACAGGACGUCACAGAGGGUGAGAAUCCCGUGCGAUGAGAUG